CGAAAGCCUGACGGAACAACGCCGCGUGAGGGAUGAAGGCCUCUGGGCUGUAAACCUCUUUUAUCAAGGAAGAAGAUCUGACGGUACUUGAUGAAUAAGCCACGGCUAAUUCCGUGCCAGCAGCCGCGGUAAUACGGGAGUGGCAAGCGUUAUCCGGAAUUAUUGGGCGUAAAGCGUCCGCAGGCGGUCUUGUAAGUCUGUCGUUAAAACGUGGAGCUUAACUCCAUUUCGGCGGUGGAAACUACAAGACUAGAGUGUGGUAGGGGCAGAGGGAAUUCCCGGUGUAGCGGUGAAAUGCGUAGAUAUUAGAAAGAACACCGGUGGCGAAAGCGCUCUACUGGACCAUUACUGACACUCAGAGGCGAAAGCUAGGGUAGCAAAAG
This 383-nucleotide ribosomal RNA is filed under the name uncultured bacterium. Its description in RNAcentral is "bacterial SSU rRNA". It matches the Rfam family "Bacterial small subunit ribosomal RNA", at positions 376 to 774 of the family's 1533-position model. The record is from RNAcentral.